RNAcentral lists this long non-coding RNA (547 nucleotides) under Gallus gallus (chicken). RNAcentral's name for it is "long non-coding RNA NONGGAT006795". Lineage: Eukaryota; Metazoa; Chordata; Aves; Galliformes; Phasianidae. The record is from RNAcentral.
AGGGAGCACUUAAAGAGGAAAGGAACGUGAAGGUUCUUCAAAGUGUGGACUUGAAGUUUUCUCCCUAACCAGUCGCCAAUACUAUUAAAUCCUUUCCGAAACAAUUAAACUGUUUUAAAACCAGAAAAAGGAGAAGGAGCACGUGAAACCAUCAGGAAGGAAGUUGAAAGAAAUCCAGGGGAAGUUAAAAGCCUAAGUUAACUAUUCCCUGUAAGGAGAAUUAUUUGCUAUAGGAUAUUUUGGAUAAAGAAAUUUAUGUGGACUAAAAAAGUGACUGCACGAAUAUAUGGAGUGACUAUUAAAAAUAAAAACACCACCUCUUGCUGAGAAAGACUCUGAAUCUUGAAAACUAAGUCAAUAUUCUCAGGAAGUAUCGCUUUACAUUUAACCUGUUGUUUCCCUCUGCUCUAGACACCAUAACUGGCUGCUGGGUGCUUCUGCAGAGAGGUCACUUGGCUCAAGAUUCAUUUGGUCUAUACUAAAAUAUCUUAUACAUAUCAGCAUGGUCUAACUGUUGAUAAGUUCAAAAAUAUAAUGCAUAUGUAUU